GAGAAUUUGCUGCUAUAGCUGCCGCGAUGUCGGACAGCUUGAAUAAGUGGAAAAUAUUUCAGGUUCUUAGCGACCAACUGAAGCGGAAUAUCAGGCUUGCGGUCGUAUUUGAAGGAAGCGCAAUUUACGUGACGAAAGAUGAUGAAGUUUUCGGCUUUGGGGAAAACAAAACAGGAUUUCUUGGUACUGGCGACGAGGAACCACGCACAGAGCACACCAAAAUUGAACAAUUGUGCGGACAAAACAUUCAAGGGUUGCAGUUCUUUAAAUUAAAAGCUGUUUGCCUGAGGAAAAUUGCUCGCAAUUGAUGUAGAAAAUAGAGAGAUAUCAAAUCCGGAGCGCGCAAGCAGUGGUAUCACACAGGACACAGGGCGCAUCAGAGUUUGACCAAGGGGAAGGAAAUUUAAAACAUUUCUAUUAGAUUUUUCUUGUCUAAUUUUAAAAGAAAUCGGAUGAUUUUUCUGCGGCGUCAUAUCCGUAAACUACAUAAAUUUUGGAAAUUCAGUUCCGAUUAUUGAUUAUUGUUUAAAAUUAUAGUAAUAUACUGUAUGUAGCGAAUUUUGACUCAAUAAUGAAGCUGUACAUAUGUAGCAUUUAUUUAAGGAAUUCUUCCAACAAAUGCUACAUACAAAAAAUCGUGAAAGAAUCUUCAAAGAACUAAAAUUCUUAGGCGCCCUUUAACCAUGGUUCCUUUCGCGCCUGCUAACAAUGAGAAAAAUAAAUUGAGCAAUCUCAUUGGUCCU
Cloeon dipterum is the source of this 743-nucleotide long non-coding RNA. RefSeq lists it as uncharacterized. The transcript is spliced from 3 exons. The record is from RefSeq and is a predicted model, not a curated record. NCBI's taxonomy places the organism in Eukaryota, Metazoa, Arthropoda, Insecta, Ephemeroptera, Baetidae.